UCUCACUUCUCACAACUCUCUCUCCUCACUGCUCUCCACUCUCUCAUUAUCUCACUCUUCAUUCGACCCUCUCUCUCCUUGAUCACUACCCUGUUGCUGCAUUUUCUCGCACCUCGCGCCACCACCUCGCACCGACACUACCACUUUGCUGCCUCCGGCCACCUCGCUGCCUCACGAGAAGGCCACCACCAGGCUGAUGUUGUCCAAUCAUCGCGCCACCAUCAAUUUCUCAAGUAUACAUGUAAACCCCAUUGUCUGAUUUCUCUUCAGUUAGGAUUUGUUAGGCUUUAAUCAUUAAAUUGAAAUGAUUUUGAUAUAAUUGCUUUGAAAAUAGUCUAAAAAUUGCUUUAAGAAUUAGGAGUUAAAAAUGGGUCUGAAAAUUGCUUUGAAUUGGCUACUGAAAAUGAGUCUAAUUUUUUUUUUGAAUUGGGUCUGAAAAUUGCUUUAAAUUGGCUACUGACAAUUAGGAAUUGAGGUGGUCACUGAAAAUUUGCUACUAAAAAUAUUCAGGUCACUGCCUUUGUGAAUUAACUGUAUAAUUUUG
Molecule: long non-coding RNA, 544 nt
Filed under: Panax ginseng (ginseng)
Lineage: Eukaryota; Viridiplantae; Streptophyta; Magnoliopsida; Apiales; Araliaceae
Description: long non-coding RNA (PGIN_LNC016261)
Source: RNAcentral